CCCACCCGGCCGCGACGAGGACCAGGGCAAGCAACCACCGUGACCGACAACGCGCAGAGUAACGGUAACCCUAAGUGGUUAGGGUAGGCGCGGGUAGGAGGCUUUGCAAGUUCCCAAGCGGUUGGGAAGCAGUUCGGACGCCGGGGAGGCGGAGCAGAGGAGGAACGAAGGAGAGGGUACAGUAACGGGAGCUCGGGCGCGGGGGAGGUGGAGCAGAGGAGAGGUUGCGGCGGUGGGAACUACGCGGCAGUCCCUGCGGCAGCUGUGCAGCCCCUAUGCAUCGCUACCUCGAGUCGGGUUCGGGUGGUCUUCGGGUGAGGAUUGGGAUAAGCGAGCUAAUUGUUCUGGUCCGUUGCCUAACCUAGCUCCCGCGGGCGUACCGGAGCAGCGGCGACGGCGGACCUAAACGAUCGGCGGCGCACCUCAGUGGGACCGGCGGCGGAACUCAGUGGAGACAGCGACGGAGGAGCUCAGUGGAGGUAGCGACGGCGGAGCUCAGUGGAGGCAGCAGCGGUGUUCAUUCGAGGUGGCAACGGCGGUCCUUAGAGCAGGUCCGUUCCUUACUUACAAGAUGCCAUCCUCGUCUCCCCCAACCCGUCGUCAACUCGAAUCUAAGUUCUAAAAGAAUGUGUACCCCGAAUAAGAGGAUUACAAAGAUCCAACGAAACCUCCGACUAUAGUCCACCGAUGAGUACAGACCGAACCACGAAUAUAAAAUCUACAAGGUAAUUAGAACCGACGAAAAGAGUAGGCAAAACCCGAAAUUGGAACCUAGAUCUUCCAACGUCGAAGAAACAAGAGGAUGAGUUCUAAAAGAGUAACAAGUCAAGUUCGGUACAAGGAGACCACAAUAUAUUAAGCGGUACUCGACGGACUCCACUCCUUGCCCGUGAGGGUUGCGGCAGGAGGUUAGUCAGGAAGUGCCGUUUCUUUCGGUCGAGAGCCUAAAGUCAUUCCUUCCGCGCCGGUGGUACGGUACAGGUACCGUGGUGGCUGGGAAAUGGACGGAGGAGAAACUUCACGUCGUGGUAGCAUGGGGGAAACCGGGAAGGGUAUGUCAAAACGGAGUGGUAUCCUCCUUCUGUCCUCGACAGACGGACGGACGAUGGGGUUUUCCUACGCGGUGGGUCAGUCGGCUCACUACCAUCUAGGGUCACCUUUACGGAGACCGAGUGACCAAAACCAAGUCAAACUUCCCGAGAGCCCCGUUUUCUAUUAACUCAACAACUUAGACUUACCCGCGGCGCUCCUCACCUCCUAGCUCCAACACCCAACGGUCGAAGUUUAAAACCAACUCGUGAAGGAGUUCUUAGAACAACUCCACAGACAAAGGAGAGAAACACAGUACUUUCUAACACAACCGACAUCCCAGAAGCGUUCCUCAACUUCCGACUCCAGUACCAACGGUCGAAGUUAAAAAACGACUGGUUAAGGAGUUCUCAGAACGGUUCUAGACUCCUACUUCCCUUCUUCUUCUUAAAUUGAUUUCUCAACUUCUUCUACUUCGUUACAUGCCCGGUCUCUGUUAGCCGCUAUUUUUGCUAGACGAACGUUCAAGAUAUAAUGGUCGCCUCCGAAACGGUUCUCCUUCCCAUUAAGCACGUCCCAUUAUUUGGGAUGUACCAUUAGUUCCCCUUGUAGAAAUAUUCAACACGAAAAACAUUCGAUGCUACACAAAAAGUAGAGCAACAAGAAAUCUAUAGAAGGAAAAUGUAAAAAACAUACACUACCAAUCAACUAGUCCGACUCACGAAGAAACGUCACGAACGAAACAACCUUGUACAAGUAAACCGAUUAUUUUGUAAUGUGUAGAGAGAACUUAAUACACGUAGAGGAAAAAUCAAUAAACUAAAAAAAUCACUGAGCGAUUAACCUUUUAGUCCUAAGAUUUUGAACCGUAUUACUUAAGAACUUAAUGCAUGAAGAAUAACACGUACAGUUUGACUCCUGAUUUAUAUAAAAAUCAACUCGAUAACAAAACUCAUAAAGAGACGUUGUUGAAUUUAAUGAAAAACGUUUAUUUUACUCGAUCGUAUACGAUAUGAACGUUACCAUUUAAUUAAUACGUCAAAACUCCUAACUCCUUUAAUUACCAGUCAGCCAGUAACUCCCAAACUUUCUCGGUAGUUCCGUUGCUAGAGUAAAGUAGAGUACAUAACUAAAACAAUAGAAGAAAUAUACCGUAAAAUAAUUAAUAAAUAUAUAUAAACGGCAUGACGAAAAGAUUUUUAACUACAUAGGAAACAGAGGUAAAGGCAUAGCGGCAUAGACACAACGGUCACGUGGUAUUGUUAAUGAAUAACUUCCUUUUACAGGGAGAAGAACAAGGGUAACGAGCUAUUCGUACUAGCGUAAAGAUGGCUAACUAAUAUUUAUACCGGAAAGAAAACUAAUAAACCACCAUGAAGACUAACCGUGAUACUCCACGAAGAAACAGCACAUCUAAGUAGGAAAUGAAUUUAUGACUACUACUAUACCAACAUUUAAUCAGACCAUAUACGGUUAUCAACAGAGAGGGUCUUCUUUAAAACACUCUUAUCACAUGGAUUUCUCAACCAACAAACAGACCUAACUUGUGGGUUGAUAUUCUUACCCAACUGUUGUGGCUAACUGAGAUAACCGCGAAGAUACAACAGAUCGAAGUAGUAAAUGAAUAUGUGACUACUAUAACAACAGUCGCACAACAUUCAUGAAGCCCUUUGUUCGGACCAUAUAAUGUUACUACAUCAGGACGUCUAGUCAUAUCCAGUGGCCGAAAUAUAACACCAGUCGCACAACAUUCAUGAAACCCUUUGUUCAAGACCCCAUUCAAAUAGACGAACGAGUACGUAAAAUUAUGAACUAACUACAGGACUAUUAAACACUUCAAGACACAUGGUACACUAUUCGACGUGUAGUCCAACGUACCGUCGAACAAACAACGAAAAUCCUACACGUACAUGGGUCCACCUAGUUUAUGUCUAUGGUUAGUAUAUAAUAAUAAAAAUGUGCACACAAAAAGAACACGGACGGUUUGUAAAGUUUUUAACUAAUAUAGUAAGUCUACAUAACUCCGACCCAAAGACACUAGGUUUUUUUUAGUAGACGGUACCGAAAGAAAAAUGUAUGUUUUGAUUCACACCUCGUCACAUAUACAAGUAACGAAAGAAUAGUGUAGCGUAAACAGCCUCCACAACAUGACUAAACUUCCUUUACGAAAAUAUAGAGGUUCAACUAGUUGAUGUGUUGAAGACUAGGAUUUCGGAAAGAAAUUUUCCCCGACCAGUUACGUCGAGGUACAACGCGAUAGAACGAUAACCCGAGAAGAAAGCAAUGAAUUUUACCAAUCUAUAGAGACUACAAUUUAAGCACCAACUAACGAAUAUAGGUUUUAUUGAUACAAUCAUGUGACUUCGGUUAAAGAUGUAACAAUCACUUCAACCGAUUUAUCAAAAACGCGGUGAUUCUAUAUAUACACGUGACGUAAUAUUGGGACAUUUAACAACACGAUAAUCAAAUUAGGUCUUAUAUUAAUACAAUCAUGUGAGACGUUAUAUUAAUACAAUAUAAGACGAAAACAUUCAAACGACCAGGUAUAAUUAAAGGAGCUCGAAUCAGAUUCCUCCGCCAUACAAGUUGUUAAUCCACAUCGCCUCUACGCAUACAACUCUACCUACACACCGGUGUGCUCCUUCCUAGCUCAGGCCUUACUACUAUAUGCUCUAUCUCAACCCCAUCGUGGUUAACUCCUCUUCGAACAGGUUGUAGCAGACUCUACCAAACCCGUAUAAGUCGCUUCCGGAGGUCUUCGAGGUCACGUAUCGCCUGCCGAUUUCGCACGCCUCUUACAGUUCUCUCCCGCCCCAGUUGGCUUAAACUGUACCCUCCUCAGGCAAUUCUCUCUGGACUUUCUAACCUCAUAGCUGUUUCUCGAUCGAUACCUGUCCCCACGCACCUUCGAACGAUAGGUAUACGGUCUCGGUACUCAACCAACGCUCUAGAAUACCCAAAGUGGAGAUCGGAUGGGGUUGAACAAACCCUGAUUUCCGAAACAACAACAACAACAACAACAAUAAAAGUGUAGAGCAGUAUAAAUGUGGAGAGGCGGCUGACGGUGGACAAUACCUUCCUCUACCGAACCGGUACGGCAGUUGUGGGUAGCCGUUGAAAGCCGUCCGCGGCAGGGCAAGAAGGAGGGGAAUGAGAUUACGGAAGCACCGGUUUUAGUAAUCGUCCUCGUUCUUCCAAUUCGUGGUUAAUACCAAUUUCGAAACAGAGAAAACACAUGAUACGUACUAACUAGACUAAAACGACCAGUCGAAUGUUUAAGUUCAUUAUGUUGAUAACGUUACGUAGAAUGAUGCACACAUAGAUAAACGUAACUAUAAAAGAGGAGGAAUCCGAGGUUUAGCAAACACCCAGUAUUUAAUAAUACGUAAUAACUACAAUUAAACGUUAAAUUUACUGUUAUCCCUACCCAAAAUAUUCACGUUACCGAACUUUACACUGGAAGCUCAGUUCUUUAAAGGAAUCACCCUUCGAAUACACUUCUUACUACAUUAAUUCAAUCGUUAAAUGUCAAGAGAAACUAUUAACAUUGACUUAACAGUU
RNAcentral lists this ribosomal RNA (4590 nucleotides) under Triticum aestivum (bread wheat). RNAcentral describes it as "partial small subunit ribosomal RNA". Lineage: Eukaryota; Viridiplantae; Streptophyta; Magnoliopsida; Poales; Poaceae. The record is from RNAcentral.